RNAcentral lists this ribosomal RNA (356 nucleotides) under uncultured soil bacterium. RNAcentral's name for it is "bacterial SSU rRNA". It matches the Rfam family "Bacterial small subunit ribosomal RNA", at positions 26 to 383 of the family's 1533-position model. The record is from RNAcentral.
AGAUUGAACGCUGGCGGCAUGCUUUACACAUGCAAGUCGAACGGUAACAGGCCGCAAGGUGCUGACGAGUGGCGAACGGGUGAGUAAUGUAUCGGAACGUGCCCAGUCGUGGGGGAUAACGCAGCGAAAGCUGCGCUAAUACCGCAUACGAUCUAUGGAUGAAAGCGGGGACCGUAAGGCCUCGCGCGAUUGGAGCGGCCGAUAUCAGUAUUAGGUAGUUGGGUGGGUAAAGGCUCACCAAGCCAACGAUCUGUAGCUGGUCUGAGAGGACGACCAGCCACACUGGACUGAGACCACGCCCAGACUCCGUACGGGAGGCAGCAGUGGGGUAAGUUUGGACAGGUGGGCGACAAGCC